This 435-nucleotide small RNA is filed under the name Vibrio nigripulchritudo. RNAcentral describes it as "cspA thermoregulator". It matches the Rfam family "cspA thermoregulator". Lineage: Bacteria; Pseudomonadati; Pseudomonadota; Gammaproteobacteria; Vibrionales; Vibrionaceae. The record is from Rfam by way of RNAcentral.
UUCUGACUCAAGAAGUCUUCUCUAACCUACUGCUCUGCGGUCUGUUCCUGAAGUGUUUUCUUUUCGAUGUUAAGACCUCUCAUAAGUAAUUCUAAUUCCGGCUGAUAUAUUGGCACGAUUGUCGUGCUACGAGAUACAAAGAUUCAAUUUAGGAAAUACCCAUGUCUAAGACAACUGGCACAGUUAAGUGGUUUAACGAAGAAAAAGGUUUUGGUUUUAUUACUCAGGAAGACGGUGGUGCAGACGUAUUUGUACACUUCCGCGCUAUCACUGGUGACGGAUUCAAAACACUUGCUGAAGGCCAAAAAGUGUCGUUCGAAGUAGAACAAGGUCAGAAAGGUCCACAGGCUGCGAACGUAGAAAAAAUCUAAUUUAAUCGUUUAGAUUAGAUCAGAAUAUCGCGCCCCGCUUUCUCUUUGAGAGAGCGGGGCGAAU